Long non-coding RNA from Bos taurus (domestic cattle), 933 nucleotides. The record is from Ensembl. Lineage: Eukaryota; Metazoa; Chordata; Mammalia; Artiodactyla; Bovidae.
CCAAAGCCAAGUCUGCGUUUGGUGGAAGAUUCUCCUUCAAGUGUGGGGAAUCACUGGCAUGGAUGCCUUCACCUGGCUCUUCAAGACAUGUGGAUGCCAGCUCUGCUCCAGCAUAAUCCCUUUUCAGAAAGACAUCAUCCCAUAAGCCCUGGCCAUCUAAAGGUUUUCUUGCUGCAACAAGGAAAUGGCAACUCACUCCAGUAGUCUUGCCUGGGAAGUCCAUGGAUAGAGGAGCCUGGCAGGCUGCAGUCCGUGGGGUCUUUGCAACUACACCACCACUCUGCAAGCCAGCAGAGUGCAACCCAUAUCUUUGUCCUAGAGAUGUGACAGACUAUGUGGGUGAGCGGAAGAGACCUCAAAGCCACUUCCUAACAGCUCAGGGUCUCACAGCUUCCCAAAGUAACCAGGUGCCGAGACAGAUGACCCUACAAAACCAGUCAGGGAUGUCGGAGGAGGAACUGAGACUAUCGUGCGUGCUCGAUCAGGGAGGUGAAAGCUCACGGUAGCGCCACAGGCCAAGCUCCACCACCGGCUAAAGGUUAAGAAGCAGCUGUAGCCUUCAAGCAAGGCCAAGGCUGGAGGUCCCUAUGCUUGGAAGAGGCUGCUACGAGGCUUCUCUUUGCCUGGAAUCCUUGGCAAAACUGCAGAAAGCCCAACUGGGAAGCUGGGGGAAGAAACAGGCCAAUUUUUGGCUCUGGAGCCCAAAGGAUGGCACAUAGGUGUGUCCGUGGAUUCAGGUUUUGGUUCUCAAAGAAUCAAAGCCAGGCACUGCAUGUGUAGCUGUCUUGUCCUGGUCCCCUGAGAGAGACGAAGUGGAGUGGACUAACAUGGAGUUUAAAGCACAAAGAAUCCCAGCUCUGUCCAUCCAGACUGCUCUACCAACCCCAGUUAUUUUGAAACGAAACUCACUUUACAAAUGCAAAUGACUCACCC